UCACUACCUGACAAUACAGU
This 20-nucleotide microRNA is filed under the name Homo sapiens (human). RNAcentral describes it as "hsa-miR-4999-3p". Lineage: Eukaryota; Metazoa; Chordata; Mammalia; Primates; Hominidae. The record is from miRBase by way of RNAcentral.